GGGGGGGGGGGGGGGGGGGGGGGGGGGGGGGGGGGCGGGCGGGAGGGCGCCGUGGGGGGGGGUGGAGGGGGGGAGGGGGGGGGAACAGGGGAGGAACCGGCCCUUGACUUCGGGAGAGCUUCAGGAAACUGGGGCGAAUACCGGGGAGGAAUCCUUGCUGCAUGGUGGGGGGUGGAAAGCUUCGGCGGGUGUGGAUGGACCGGAGGCUUAUCCGCUCGUUGGGGGGGUAGGUGCUUACCAAGGCUUUGACGGGGAGCCGGCCUGAGAGUGCGACCGGCCCCAUUGAUACUGAGAUACGGCCCAGACUCCUACGGGAGGCAGCAGUGGGGAAUAUUGAACAAUGGGCGGAAGCCUGAUGCAGCAACGCCGCGGGCGGGAUGACGGCCUUCGGGUUGUAAACCGCUUUCAGCAGGGGCGAAGCUUGUGGUGACGGUACCUGCAGAAGAAGCACCGGCUAACUACGUG
This 465-nucleotide ribosomal RNA is filed under the name uncultured bacterium. Its description in RNAcentral is "partial 16S ribosomal RNA". It matches the Rfam family "Bacterial small subunit ribosomal RNA", at positions 39 to 507 of the family's 1533-position model. The record is from RNAcentral.